This 492-nucleotide ribosomal RNA is filed under the name uncultured bacterium. RNAcentral describes it as "partial 16S ribosomal RNA". It matches the Rfam family "Bacterial small subunit ribosomal RNA", at positions 29 to 507 of the family's 1533-position model. The record is from RNAcentral.
AGUGAACGCUGGCGGUAGGCCUAACACAUGCAAGUCGAACGGCAGCACAGUAAGAGCUUGCUCUUACGGGUGGCGAGUGGCGGACGGGUGAGGAAUACAUCGGAAUCUACUUUUUCGUGGGGGAUAACGUAGGGAAACUUACGCUAAUACCGCAUACGACCUACGGGUGAAAGCAGGGGAUCUUCGGACCUUGCGCGAUUGAAUGAGCCGAUGUCGGAUUAGCUAGUUGGCGGGGUAAAGGCCCACCAAGGCGACGAUCCGUAGCUGGUCUGAGAGGAUGUACGGCAACACUGGAACGUGGACAGGGCCGAGCCUCCUAGGGGAGGCAGCGGGGGGGAAUGUUGGACAAGGGGGGCAAGCCGGAUCCACCAUUCCGGGGGGGGUAAAAAAGGCCUUCGGUUGUUAAAGCCCUUUUUUGGGGAAAAAAAAGCAGCGGGUUAAUCCCCCGCUUUUCUGAGGUUACCAAAAAAAAAAGCCCCGGCUAACUUCGUG